RNAcentral lists this ribosomal RNA (395 nucleotides) under uncultured bacterium. RNAcentral describes it as "partial 16S ribosomal RNA". It matches the Rfam family "Bacterial small subunit ribosomal RNA", at positions 523 to 918 of the family's 1533-position model. The record is from RNAcentral.
AUACGUAGGGCGCAAGCGUUAAUCGGAAUUACUGGGCGUAAAGCGUGCGCAGGCGGUUUUGUAAGACAGUGGUGAAAUCCCCGGGCUCAACCUGGGAACUGCCUUUGAGACUGCAAGGCUGGAGUGCGGCAGAGGGGGGUGGAAUUCCGCGUGUAGCAGUGAAAUGCGUAGAUAUGUGGAGGAACACCGAUGGCGAAGGCAAUCCCCGGGGCCUGCACUGGCGCUCAUGCACGAAAGCGUGGGGAGCAAACAGGAUUAGAUACCCUGGUAGUCCACGCCCUAAACGAUGUCAACUGGUUGUUGGGGAUUUAUUUUCUCAGUAACGAAGCUAACGCGUGAAGUUGACCGCCUGGGGAGUACGGCCGCAAGGUUAAAACUCAAAGGAAUUGACGGGG